Molecule: ribosomal RNA, 481 nt
Filed under: uncultured bacterium
Lineage: Bacteria
Description: partial 16S ribosomal RNA
Rfam family: Bacterial small subunit ribosomal RNA
Source: RNAcentral
GACGAACGCUGGCGGCGUGCUUAUCACAUGCAAGUCGAGCGAUGAAGUUUCUUCGGAAAUGGAUUAGCGGCGAACGGGUGAGGAACACGUGAAGAAUCUGCCCUCCACUUCGGGAUAACACCGGGAAACCGGUGCUAAUACUGGAUAUUGAAACAUAAGUGGCAUCACUGAGUUUUGAAAGAAUUUCGGUGGAGGAUGACUUCGCGGCCUAUCAGCUAGUUGGUGAGGUAAUGGCUCACCAAGGCAACGACGGGUAGCCGGCCUGAGAGGGCGACCGGCCACACUGGGACUGAGACACGGCCCAGACUCCUACGGGAGGCAGCAGUGGGGAAUAUUGGGCAAUGGAGGAAACUCUGACCCAGCGACGCCGCGUGCGGGAUGAAGGCCUUCGGGUUGUAAACCGCUUUCAGUAGGGAAGAAGCGAAAGUGACGGUACCUACAAAAGAAGCACCGGCUAACUAUGUGCCAGCCGCCGCAGUAA